GAUGAACGCUGGCGGCGUGCCUAAUACAUGCAAGUCGAGCGAACAGACGAGGAGCUUGCUCCUCUGACGUUAGCGGCGGACGGGUGAGUAACACGUGGAUAACCUACCUAUAAGACUGGGAUAACUUCGGGAAACCGGAGCUAAUACCGGAUAAUAUAUUGAACCGCAUGGUUCAAUAGUGAAAGACGGUUUUGCUGUCACUUAUAGAUGGAUCCGCGCCGCAUUAGCUAGUUGGUAAGGUAACGGCUUACCAAGGCAACGAUGCGUAGCCGACCUGAGAGGGUGAUCAGCCACACUGGAACUGGGACACGGUCCGGACUCCAAAGGGAGGCAGCAGUAGGGGAUCUUCCGCAAUGGGCGAAAGCCUGACGGAACAACACCACGUGAGUGAUGAAGGUCUUCGGAUCUUAAAACUCUGUUAUUAGGGAAGAACAAAUGUGUAAGUAACUAUGCACGUCUUGACGGUACCUAAUCAGAAAGCCACGGCUAACUACGUG
Molecule: ribosomal RNA, 497 nt
Filed under: uncultured bacterium
Lineage: Bacteria
Description: partial 16S ribosomal RNA
Rfam family: Bacterial small subunit ribosomal RNA
Source: RNAcentral